UAGUGCUAUAAAGUUUAGGCAAUUCUCACUUUAUAAUCUGUUUUUCUGGGGUGGAGUUUGACCCUAAGCCCAAAUUCUAAUUCUGAUAUGUUACAUACAAGAUUGUUUGUCAGUUUCAUUGCUAUAUGUUAAAUAUCAAUAACUUUAUAUGUUAGCAUUAUUUUAUACUGCUGCAAGAGCUUUUAAGUUCCAUUCUCUAUCUCUUGGGUUUAUUUCUAUCUACAUUUUUGAGAGUGGUACAACAUUGUUGCUUAGAAAUAGAAUCAUCGAUGCACCUUUCCAUGAUGAGCUCUGGUUUGCUGUUGCUAAUCAACCUUGCUUGCUUCAUGUUCGAAUUGAUGCAAUGUAUACAAAGCCUUCCAAUCAGAGCAACUUCAUUUGCAGACAUCAAAUUAAAAAAGUUAUGCCAGAGCCUAGAAGGAAAAAUAGCAAGCACAAGGUGGGUUUCUGUAUGCUCACACAAGGGUUAGUUGAAGUUGUUAACAGUUAAAUUUAACAGUGAUUUAGUUAGACAUCCUAACCAAAUUGAAAGAGAGGGAGAAGUCUGAAGGUAUAAAUAGGCGGAAAACUAUUGAGUUAGAUUGGAUUUGGAGUGUUGUUGGUUGGCCUAUCUGUAGCUGAUGCUUUCCUAGUUCCAUGUUGGAUGUGAAGAGUUGAUAAUUUUUUAUUUCUUCUCUUCAUUUUGAUUGCUAUAGUUGAUUAGUCGUGUUUUUUUUUUUAUUCUGGGUCAGAGACCACAAGUGUUUCUUAGCCCACUGGGUCAGAAAUUAAACCCGCUCGCGGUGCGUGACUGCCAUUGGCCCAAGGGAAAUCGAACACGAGUUCUCUCCCUAAAUAUAUUGUUUUCACUCUUGUGAAUGCAACAGGACCUUACACUAUUGCACCAACCCUUUGGGUUUAUUAAAUGAUCAGUAGAGGUGUUGAAAGCAGUGACCUCAUUGCCUUUCAUAUUAAAAGUAUAGAAGUUGAAACUCUUUAGUUCCCUCUGAAAUUCCCUAUGCAUUGUAGAAUUCGUUUUAAAUGAUUAGUAGAGGAGUUGAAAGCAGUGACCUCUUACCUGUCAAGUUUAUAUUAACCUGUUUUUAAUUGAUUUUGAUGUUGGGUUGUUGGUUGACAUUUCGAAUCUUGAGGUGGUUUUUAUUCAUCUUCCUUUAGGAUCUUUCAACUCAUUCAUUGCUUGCUACAUGCUCAUGGGGAUAGUGUUUAAGAUGUAUUAAUAAUAGAAAAAUUAUAUAUAUAUAUAUAUAUAUAUAUAUAUAUAUGAACCCUUUUUAUCACGCAACAAAGUAUGUCAAUUGAGUAGCUUCUUACACAGUAUUUUAUCUUCACUGCUUGGUGCCUACCCAUUUUAUGCAGCUCUUUUUUAAAUGGUGAAACGCAUUUGGUUCGCCAUUAAAGCAGCCAUCGGUAAGAGGAUAUAUUAUUGAUUGAAGUGUUUGUUGCACUAGUCUAUUGUUCAUGCCAUGAAGAGGGAUUGGUUUCCCUUUUAAACUUUUUUUUUUUUUUUUCUUAAUCCAGUUACAGUUCUAAUGCAACGAUAAGUCAAUAGAUGGCAGUUUACCAGCUUGAACCUCUGUCUAAAUAGUUUUUCCUUUAUAUGAAGUGCUUUUCUGCUUUAAGAAAGUUAAGCUUUUGUUCGGAUGGAGUUUAUGGAAAUUCGAAAUACAAAGUUAUUUUAUUCAAAAUUACAAUUAAGGUGAGAAGGUGUUAAUUAACAAGUAGCAACAACAAGGUUGACUAUAAUAUGGGUUUAGUAUGGUCUGAGGGUUGGCCACGAAUGGGGUGAAAACAUUUGAAAAAUUAACCCACUCUAAUCAUAAUAAAUCCAAUACAGUAUAACACUUGAAAUAAUAAUAAUAGUAGUAAUAAUAAUAAAUCCAAUUUAAGAAUAACUAGUUAAAAAUGUUCGAAGAUUGGUGUUCAGGAAUAUGGUGUAACUACUUAUUUGUGUAUAUUUCCAGCAUGUUUCUCACAAUAUGUUUUCUUUUCGAUUGCGUAACUAGUUAAAAAUUUAACCCAUACUUGAGGUUUUCUUUUCGAUUGCGUAAUUUCGACAUCUUCCAUGUUUCGGAGCUGCAUGCUUUGAGCCUGAAGAAAGGAGUUUUUCUGGUGCUUCAUGGUGCAUCUGGUUUGAGCAAAGAACUUGUUAAGCUACAGUUGCAUAACUAAUGGAUUUUGGAAGUUGCUUUAAGUUUUUAUACGUCAAAGUAACACAAACUUUUAUGAGCAUUGAGCUCAUGGUACAGUGUGAAUUCUAGUAGCUUUUGCACUUUAUAUUGGUAACCUCAUAAGAGCUUCUUGAUUCCUGACAAGAAUGCAUAAAUCUUGGUGUUAGAAAGUUCAGUGUCAACAGAGGUAAGGAAAACAUACGUGGACUCCCUCGUUACCCUGAAGAACGAUCUAGUUCAUGUUAUGACCUCUGCAAAGGAAGCCAUCAACGCUGUGGUUGCAGAAAAGAUGCAUCUCUUUGGUUCAGCAGGAAGGGCAUAAUUUCUAAAAAUUUACUAGCUAGAACCUCUUAUUAUUUUGCUAUUAUAUUGUCUUGUAGUAAAUAGUAAGGAAUAUCAUUGUCCCAUGAAUUCAUUAUUUCCUUCGGUUCAAUACAUGGUUUCUGAAUUUCUUAUUUA
Long non-coding RNA from Glycine soja, 2627 nucleotides. RefSeq lists it as uncharacterized. NCBI's taxonomy places the organism in Eukaryota, Viridiplantae, Streptophyta, Magnoliopsida, Fabales, Fabaceae. The transcript is spliced from 2 exons. The record is from RefSeq and is a predicted model, not a curated record.